RNAcentral lists this ribosomal RNA (27 nucleotides) under Sindoropsis le-testui. RNAcentral's name for it is "partial 26S ribosomal RNA". The record is from RNAcentral. Lineage: Eukaryota; Viridiplantae; Streptophyta; Magnoliopsida; Fabales; Fabaceae.
GCGACCCCAGCUCAGGCGGGCCACCCG